This 234-nucleotide long non-coding RNA is filed under the name Carica papaya (papaya). Its description in RNAcentral is "long non-coding RNA (CPAP_LNC000726)". The record is from RNAcentral. Lineage: Eukaryota; Viridiplantae; Streptophyta; Magnoliopsida; Brassicales; Caricaceae.
UUAGCUCGGGCAGGUGAAACUGUAGGUUGGGUAAGGCAGGAGGAAGGACAACUCUGGUUUAUUUGUCUGGCGGGUUACUUACUUGGUCAGACAAUCUUCUUUUAAGCUAUUGGGGUUGUUGUUGAGUACGAACUAGAGCAAUAUAUUGGUGUUUGAUCGAGAUAAGGUCUUCAGCCAACUGGGCAUAUUCAAGCACCUUCGUAUACGAGUUGGGUGUCAGCAUCACAACCCGAU